Molecule: non-coding RNA, 125 nt
Organism: Triticum urartu
Lineage: Eukaryota; Viridiplantae; Streptophyta; Magnoliopsida; Poales; Poaceae
Source: Rfam
CACAUACUUCAUUUGUCUGAAAAUACUUGUCAGAGAAAUGAAUGUAUCCAGAUAUAUUUUAGUUUUAGAUACAUCCAUUUUUAAUUAGUUCUGCGACAAGUAAUUUCGAACGGAGGAAGUACAUC